Molecule: ribosomal RNA, 497 nt
Filed under: uncultured bacterium
Lineage: Bacteria
Description: partial 16S ribosomal RNA
Rfam family: Bacterial small subunit ribosomal RNA
Source: RNAcentral
AAUGAACGCUGGCGGCAUGCCUAACACAUGCAAGUCGAGCGAACAGACGGGGAUUUUUCUCGUAUGCCGUUGGCGGCGGACGGGUGAUGCCUACGGGUAUGACCUACCUAUGAGAAUGGGGUGCCUACACGGGACCAGGUCUAAUAACCGAUGAUAUAUUGAACUGCAUGGGUCAAUCGUGAAAGUCGGUUUUGGUGUGACUAAUAGCUGGAUCCGCGCCGCAUUAGCUAGUGGGUAGGGUAACGGCUUACCAAGGCUACGAUGCGUAGCCGACCUGAGAGGGUGAUCGGCCACACUGGAACUGAGACACGGUCCAGACUCCUACGGGAGGCAGCAGUCGGGAAUCUUCACCAAUGGGAGAAAGCCUGACGGAGCAACGCCGCGUGAGUGACGAAGGUCUUCGGAUCGUAAAGCGCUGUAAGUAGUGAGGAAGAAAAGUGUUUUUAACCAUGCUCGUAUUGACGGUACCGAAUGAAUAAGCCCCGGCUAACUACGUG